Molecule: long non-coding RNA, 1987 nt
Organism: Oenanthe melanoleuca
Lineage: Eukaryota; Metazoa; Chordata; Aves; Passeriformes; Muscicapidae
Exons: 17
Source: RefSeq, a predicted model, not a curated record
AGGGAGAGUGGAUGCAGCUGUAUCAACAGCGGUCCCCACUCGUGGGAUACGUACACAGAGCCAGCUUUACUGCUGGAGGCAGCUUUUCCAGGGUGUUUGCACUGCAGUGGUGACUUCUCUUGGGUGAGCUGUGUCUGCCGGGGACCUUGAUUCUGCUCUGCCUGAAUAACCCAGCUACGAGCACAGUGUUCUUUUUCUGUUAAGCAGCAGGUAUCAUUUUUGUCCUGACAAGGGGAGGCUCCACCUGCCGACUGCCCACCAACGCAUCCAGCUGUCUGCUUUGCAGAACAGGCAAGCUUGUUUUCAGAAUUUGAAAAACGGAGAUACAAAGGGAGCUGUGGCAGCUGAAUUCUCUUUCAUGUGUGUCCAGUCCAGGUGAAGCCCAGCAUAAUGUACUGUAAUAUGUGUCUUCAAUUCUCUGAUACAAUGACCUGUGCAUCCUCUAAAUCCCCCACAGAAUGCGCAGACACAGACUGAUUGAGUCCACAGGAGCAGGAGGAGUCCCAGGGAGUCUUGGGCAGUUUUUCACCACCUUUAUCCUUGUGGAGAAUCUCAGCACACGUGCAAAGAUGAUGUGUGAAUUCAGGAUGCACUCCAUGGCAUCUGUGAACAUGUGUGUCAAGGCUUCACUUUUCCAUGUAACCCUAAAGAGUGGACACAAAAGACAUUUAUUUGCUUGAAAGGUUUUAGGAAUUUUCUUUCUGUUUUUUCCUUGAGAAGAUGGUGGAUAGAUUUUCCAUGGGAUGGUUCUUAGAGAACAUGCCACCAAUUGCAGGAGUUGCAUCUUGUGAGAUACAGACACAAUGAAUUUCCUCAAGGGACAGAGUACAAAACUGAUGGGUUUGCUGUGGGUGCAUCAGUCCAGAGAGAUCUGUAGGGGAGAAUGAAGGCAGGGACUUGUGCACAUCUCCAAGUGGCCUCGGGGUCCACAGAGCCAGAACAGCACAUUCAUGGAGACAAAAUGCCAUGUUGUCUGAAGCUUUGCACCAGAUGCACUCUGCAAAAAUAUCUUCUUACAGCUACAAGGGCUUCACACCCACUAUGUCUGACUGUGUUGGGAGCUCGAGCACAGGUUGCCCACCUUGGCAGCAUCGAUGCCAUUGAACUGGUAUUAGCAGCAGUGAGGGGUGGCUGUAAAUUUUGCCUCAUGUGGACAAGGCUUACAAGGCACUGCACUGGUGUAAAUCCUCAUGGAAGACAUUGCAGCUAUGACAACUUACACCAGCACCUGAGCUUCCCUGGAACUAACACAACAGAGCAGCAAUGUUAGUGACCAGUAGAGAAUUAUUAAAGGAACACAGAUAAUUGGAAGAAAAUAAAUGACCUGGGUAGAAGAGCUACUAUAAAAUGAAGUGCAGACAUGAGAGAAGGAGAUACUCAGAACCUCCUGGUAAUACGCUACUUUCCAGUUCCACAGAUUUGUUUUUCUUCACUUCUAGUGUUCAGCAAGAAGUUGUGAUGGUCUGAGAAAUUAUAUCUUGGGGGCAGAAGCUGUGCCUUAUAUAGCCACAGUGACAGCAUAGAAAGCAAAGAAGGAAUUAGGAUGCUAUUUUUUAGACCAGCCAGAUGAUUUGUCAGCAAUUCACCAGGAAGAAGGAAGAAAUUGCAAGAAUUGGAAGGCGCAGCGGUCCAGCUUCAGUAUCCAUUGAGAUCAAACCUAAAGAAAUGGACCCAUCUCUAUUCAAAAUGAAUUUCCUUUAUACAAAAACCACAAAGGAAACUGAAGCUACAUUUCUAAAUACUGAAAAGCAAAGAAUAAAAGCACUUUUUAAAAAAGAGAGAUGAUUAACUACAUUUAUACUCAAAGAUUCUGAGAAAUUGACUCAUCUGAUAUGCUAUGAGAAGGAAUUUAAGGGUAUGGCCCCAAAACCUGUGUUCUGACCAUCAGUCAAAAGCUCUGCUUCUUAUGCUCUCUCCCUCUUGAUCAGUGAGAAAGGAGAGGCAAAAAUGGAUAAUGGAAUUGGCUGGGGACCUAGCUGCAAGUCAC